UCACUCACCCAAGUUGUUUUGCUGUUGGUUUUCAUCUGCUGGACGCCGAGUUCGACUGGCGCUGCCUUUUCCUUGGAGGAAGAAUUCCUACAACUGAAGGAAAAUUAUAUUCAAAUGAAACAAGUCGUGAAAAGCUUGGAAGCCAAAGUUGAACAAGUGAAGAGUUUGGAAUCCACAACGAUUGAACUGCAGG
Daphnia pulicaria is the source of this 193-nucleotide long non-coding RNA. RefSeq lists it as uncharacterized. Lineage: Eukaryota; Metazoa; Arthropoda; Branchiopoda; Diplostraca; Daphniidae. The record is from RefSeq and is a predicted model, not a curated record. The transcript has 2 exons.